CAAGUACUUAUUUUUCUUGUCCAUAAUCUGUGAAUCCUGCUGAAAUCAGCUAGACUUUGCUCCAGGAUGAGGGAUUGGUCCAAUUCUGUUCCAUCUUUCCACGCAUCUUUCAUCAGGUUAUUAGGAAAGAGUACACUUCACUGGCUGCUCUACUGGGAGGCUUUAUCUCCAUUAAGUGAACCACAGAGAAAAAAGAAGAGAAGAGUUUUACUUCUGUCAUCUGGUGAUACAUUGCUUUGGUGAAUACAAGAAACCACAGGAUAAGCAACAGGGCUCUUUGGUAAAUUCCACAGGCUCUCCUGAUAGGGCAGCCAAGUCUUUUCCCAGUAGCCAGCCCUUUGCACUAAAACAUGUGGAUUUUAUUUCUAUGGAUGUUGUGAGUGUGGACCUAAACUUCUCUAAGAGAACUUGUAUUUCUCAAGCCUAAAGAUGUAUUACAUUUUUUUGUAUUUGUAUUUGAUCCACAUAAAGAAGGGGAAAAAAAUUUGUGUGUGUGGAUAGCAUUCCAAGAAGGAACUCUAGCCCCAGGAAAGCUGCUAUUUCUGCUCUUCUCCAGCUACCUGCCAACAAUUUGUCCUCAAAAGAGGCUCUUUCUGACUAUUUACAGAUCUGUCACUUACAGAUUGGCAAUUUUCAUGCAUUUCAUUCUGCUUUGCUUUACUUCAUACUGGCAUCAUCUUUAUCAGAAGGAUAUAUAAAUAUAGAUAUAUGGAUAUCGUUUGUCUUCCCUUUCUCCACAUUAACAUAUUCCAUGAGUGCAGGAAGUGAAAUGGCAUCUUUAUUUCAUUACUCUCUGGUCCAUAAUACAUUCCCUGGCACAAAGGGAACACUUAAAUACUUAACUAUCAAAAUAAAAAAAUAAAUAAAAUCACUGGAUAUGGAACAUGCUCAUUAUUAAAUGUUUUUCUAGCACUCUACCAGAAAACUAUCAGCCACUGUUCCACCACGGUGCUUUCCCUCUCUUGCUUCUUGCACCUCCUCUGAUGUUCUUCCUUUUUGUUAGUUCCAGUUCCACAUCACAGUCACGCAAAUGUAAGAGAAUGGAGAAUGCAGUCCUUUCUCAGCUGGGCACAAAGUAAUGCUGAGUGAAACAGAAGUUGUUAUUGUGGAAGAGGUAGGUGCCUGAACUGGGUGUCUCCUGAUAACCUUUCUCCCCAUUGCUCUGUGUCCCAUAUUCAGAGUAGACUCACCAAAGUUCUCCUUUGCUUUCUAGCUUCCAGUCGAUUUUGAAAAAUUCAGAGCAUGGGCAAGACAUAGCAGAAAAAGAAAUUGUGAUUGAUUGGAGUAUUUAUUUUCCUGGCUUCCUCCAUGUGGAGUUGCUAAAGACCGGCUGCAUCUUUCAGCUGCAAUCACAGCUCCUGCCUGGCAGCCUUCUCGGUCUCCAGGACCCCGUAUCUGACCAGUUUCCAACUCAUCUUCACUUGGGAGUUGGCUGUGAAGAGACAGGCAAGUCUCUUCAUCAAGCAGGAGGAAAACAUACAGCGGGAAGGAAAUAUGAAACGACCUCAUUUCUAGUUUAACCCUUUGGAUCUCCUUUGUACCACGUCUCCUUGGAUGAGAAGAGUCUCCCUCUCAUCAGCACAUUAAGGAAUCUACCAUACAACUUCAGUCUUCAGUAUUGCCAAAGACUAGUAACCUAUGCUCCAAGAGUUAAUGACUAUAAGUGCAUCACUGAAGCCUGUAGAAAAAGGCCCUGAUGCCUCCUGCCCUAAUAAUUUGUAUGUGUUUAUUUUUUUCCAUUUGCAAGAUAGAAAACAAACUGGUCUGGUUACAACUAACCAUAGAUUUGCACCAACUAUUAGAAAUGGAUUUUUUUAUCAUCAGUUUUUUUUCAUGUUGUGUUCAUGCUCAUCCCUCAGAUAUUUAUGUUUCAGUCUUGGGUAAUUUAUUUCUAUUUACUUUAAAUUUCCUUAUGAAAUAGUUUCAAUUAUAUCACAGGUUGUUAUAAAUAGUUGGUGUUAAAUUAUAUAGAGGUAUUACAUUGCUACUUAAUGCCUGCAUUUGAUGUGGUUAUUACAAUGGUGACGCUAUAGAUCACCGUAGCAACAAAAACAAGAAUUCAUAGCCUGUUUCAAACAUAAGAGGCUGAAAAUAUUUCAUAGUUAUUGAAAGCUGAGGUAUGAAGCAAUUUAAACAUUUAGCUGCUGAGUAAUUGGGAUCUAGAAAUACAUCAACCUAGAUACUGAAUUUUUAGAAGAGUCAAUAUUGAAUAAUAGCACAGGUCAUUUACUUUUAAUUGUCUAGCCAUCUGAAUGCUUGAGCAUGUGAACAGUAACUUCACCCAUGUAGCUUAUUUAUCUAUGUUUCAUAAACAGGCUACCUUCUGAGAGUUAAUUGUGUGAACAGGAAAAGUCACUACCUAAUAAAUUGAUGUUCAC
Molecule: long non-coding RNA, 2378 nt
Filed under: Homo sapiens (human)
Lineage: Eukaryota; Metazoa; Chordata; Mammalia; Primates; Hominidae
Description: non-protein coding lnc-TMEM132C-6:5
Source: RNAcentral